This 350-nucleotide unclassified non-coding RNA is filed under the name soil metagenome. RNAcentral describes it as "partial contains 5.8S ribosomal RNA, internal transcribed spacer 2, and large subunit ribosomal RNA". The stretch from base 1 to 120 matches the Rfam family "5.8S ribosomal RNA", at positions 35 to 154 of the family's 154-position model. The record is from RNAcentral.
GAUGAAGAACGUAGCGAAAUGCGAUAAGUAAUGUGAAUUGCAGAAUUCAGUGAAUCAUCGAAUCUUUGAACGCACAUUGCGCCCGCCAGUAUUCUGGCGGGCAUGCCUGUUCGAGCGUCAUUACAACCCUCAGGCCCCCGGGCCUGGCGUUGGGGAUCGGCGGAGCCCCCCGUGGGCACACGCCGUCCCCCAAAUGCAGUGGCGGUCCCGCCGCAGCUUCCAUCGCGUAGUAGCUAACACCUCGCGACUGGAGAGCGGCGCGGCCACGCCGUAAAACACCCAACUCUUCUGAAGUUGACCUCGAAUCAGGUAGGAAUACCCGCUGAACUUAAGCAUAUCAAUAAGCGGGA